AAGUCGUAACAAGGUUACCGUAGGUGAACCUGCGGUUGGAUCAUUAUUGAAUCUGUUUGCGUCUUCUGUGUGACUGUGGAAUUGAGUACACUAAUCACGGUAGACCCAAGCUUUCCAACCCUUGUGCAUUAAACUGUUUUUUGGGUGGUUUUUCGAAAGGGAGACUGCCCAGCAUAUUAAACCAACUUAAUUUUUUGUCUUAUCUAUAUGAAAAUAUAAACAACUUUUGACAACGGAUCUCUUGGCUCUC
This 250-nucleotide unclassified non-coding RNA is filed under the name fungal sp. RNAcentral's name for it is "partial internal transcribed spacer region". The stretch from base 1 to 46 matches the Rfam family "Eukaryotic small subunit ribosomal RNA", at positions 1786 to 1831 of the family's 1831-position model. Lineage: Eukaryota; Fungi. The record is from RNAcentral.